GUGCCAGCAGCCGCGGUAAUACGGAGGUGGCAAGCGUUGUUCGGAAUUACUGGGCGUAAAGGGCGCGUAGGCGGCAUGGCAAGUCAGAUGUGAAAGCCCCGGGCUUAACUCGGGAAUUGCAUCUGAAACUGCUUUGCUUGAGUCCUGGAGGGGGUAGUGGAAUUCCCAGUGUAGCGGUGAAAUGCGUAGAUAUUGGGAGGAACACCGGUGGCGAAGGCGGCUACCUGGACAGUGACUGACGCUGAGGCGCGAAAGCUAGGGGAGCAAACGGGAUUAGAUACCCCCGUAGUCC
This 292-nucleotide ribosomal RNA is filed under the name uncultured bacterium. RNAcentral describes it as "partial 16S ribosomal RNA". It matches the Rfam family "Bacterial small subunit ribosomal RNA", at positions 505 to 796 of the family's 1533-position model. The record is from RNAcentral.